AGAGUUUGAUCCUGGCUCAGAUUGAACGCUGGCGGCACGCUUUACACAUGCAAGUCGAACGGCAGCACGGGUGCUUGCACCUGGUGGCGAGUGGCGAACGGGUGAGUAAUGCACCGGAACGUACCCAGUAAUGGGGGAUAACACAUCGAAAGAUGUGCUAAUACCGCAUACGCCCUGAGGGGGAAAGCGGGGGAUCGUAAGACCUCGCGUUAUUGGAGCGGCCGAUGCCGGAUUAGCUAGUUGGUGAGGUAAGAGCUCACCAAGGCGACGAUCCGUAGCUGGUCUGAGAGGACGACCAGCCACACUGGGACUGAGACACGGCCCAGACUCCUACGGGAGGCAGCAGUGGGGAAUUUUGGACAAUGGGCGCAAGCCUGAUCCAGCCAUGCCGCGUGAGUGAAGAAGGCCUUCGGGUUGUAAAGCUCUUUCGCAAGGAAAGAAAACUUAUCUACUAA
RNAcentral lists this ribosomal RNA (455 nucleotides) under uncultured bacterium. Its description in RNAcentral is "bacterial SSU rRNA". It matches the Rfam family "Bacterial small subunit ribosomal RNA", at positions 8 to 463 of the family's 1533-position model. The record is from RNAcentral.